CUCUAUUCUCAACAGUAAAUAAACAUUUACAAAUUAAGAAUAAUAGUAAUACUUAACAUUAAGUAGUGUAUGCUCUUUGCAGCAUUUUAAGUUAUUCAACUUUGUAUUUAAGACUUCUGAACAUUUGGAUUUCCACAUCAUUUUAUAAGUGCCAGGUUCUGUUCUUGCUCCAUAGCCUCACCUGUUUAGAACAUAAUAAGUGAAUAGUACUUUUAAAACGCUGUUUAAAUCCCAUAAAUCUGAAUCUUUUGCUUCUUUCUCUGUUCAGGCAUACACUGAUUAUAGUGACUCUGUAGCACGGAGGAUGGGCUUUAUUCCUCUCCCACUAGCUGUUUUAGUUGAUAUCCCUGAAAGUGCUUAAUAGCAUCGUGCUGUUGGGGAAAUCGUGCCAGUAUGUGAAGGAAGCCAAAAUGGAAGAGAAGCUGUCGAAUCCUCCCCCAACCUGCACUCCAGGCAAGCCGUCCAGUAAAUCACAGAACAAAUGUAAACCCUCUCAAGGCCUUUCCGCAGAAGAAAACCUGUCUGCCUCCGUCACCAAACAGCCUAUUCAUCAAAAGGAAAAUAUCAUACCAUUACUUGUGACAAGCAAUUCUGAUCAGUUUUUGACAACUCCAGAUGGUGACGAGAAGGACAUAACGCAGGACAAUUCUGAAUUAAAACACAGAUCC
This 668-nucleotide small RNA is filed under the name Pongo abelii (Sumatran orangutan). RNAcentral describes it as "retained intron". The record is from RNAcentral. Lineage: Eukaryota; Metazoa; Chordata; Mammalia; Primates; Hominidae.